Molecule: non-coding RNA, 123 nt
Organism: Picea glauca (white spruce)
Lineage: Eukaryota; Viridiplantae; Streptophyta; Pinopsida; Pinales; Pinaceae
Source: Rfam
AUGUACAUUCCUACAUAAUAGAGCUUAUGCACUGGAUCCCAUUAGAACUCCGUAGUUAGGCGUGCUCAGGAUAGAGUAGUACUAGGAUGGGUGACCACCCGGGAAGUCCUAGUGUUUUACAUG